This 337-nucleotide long non-coding RNA is filed under the name Mytilus galloprovincialis (Mediterranean mussel). Lineage: Eukaryota; Metazoa; Mollusca; Bivalvia; Mytilida; Mytilidae. The record is from RNAcentral.
ACUCGAAUAGUAACUCUUUGAGGCUUUCAUACAUGCUUGAAUAUUCAAUUUGUAUUUGUAAGUUUCAGUCGUGUUGAUCGACAUAUAAACGUGCAGGUAUAUACAAAAAAAAAUUGGAAAGUUGAUAGAAAGGUUAUCCAACACAUCGAAAUAAUGUUUUAAUAGAAUGGAAAAUAAUUACAACUGUUGACGUUUCUUAGUAAAAAAACACGGUCUCUGCUUUUACAUAAUCCUAUACAUAGAUUUGUCACCAUGUUGUUUAUGGAUAUACGAUUCUGAAGUCAUCACAAUGCAUUUUGAGGUAACACAUUUACUGAUGUAUAAUACAGCUAUACAG